GCGUGGGUGAAGAAGGCCUUCGGGUUGUAAAGCCCUUUCGGCGGAGACGAAACGGUUUGCACUAACACUGCAGACUAAUGACGGUAUCCGCAGAAGAAGCACCGGCUAACUACGUGCCAGCAGCCGCGGUAAUACGUAGGGUGCGGGCGUUAAUCGGAAUUACUGGGCGUAAAGCGUGCGCAGGCGGUUUGUUAAGACAGAUGUGAAAUCCCCGGGCUUAACCUGGGAACUGCGUUUGUUACUGGCAAGCUGGAGUGUGGCAGAGGGGGGUGGAAUUCCAAGUGUAGCAGUGAAAUGCGU
RNAcentral lists this ribosomal RNA (300 nucleotides) under uncultured bacterium. RNAcentral describes it as "bacterial SSU rRNA". It matches the Rfam family "Bacterial small subunit ribosomal RNA", at positions 399 to 691 of the family's 1533-position model. The record is from RNAcentral.